UACGGAGGGGGCGAGCGUUAUUCGGAAUCACUGGGCGUAAAGCGUGCGUAGGCUGUUUCACAAGUUGGAAGUGAAAGCCCAGGGCUUAACCCUGGAAUUGCUUUCAAAACUGUGAGACUCGAAUCUCGGAGAGGAUAGCGGAAUUUCCAGUGUAGUAGUGAAAUACGUAGAUAUUGGAAGGAACACCAGUGGCGUAAGCGGCUAUCUGGACGAGUAUUGACGCUGAGGCACGAAAGCGUGGGGAUCAAACAGG
RNAcentral lists this ribosomal RNA (253 nucleotides) under uncultured bacterium. RNAcentral's name for it is "partial 16S ribosomal RNA". It matches the Rfam family "Bacterial small subunit ribosomal RNA", at positions 524 to 776 of the family's 1533-position model. The record is from RNAcentral.